UCCAGUGUGGUGUAGUGGUUUGAGCAUUGGACUACAAGUCUGGAGAUCAGGGUUCGAGUCCCUGCUCAUCCAUGGAA
RNAcentral lists this transfer RNA (77 nucleotides) under Phrynosoma platyrhinos (Desert horned lizard). Its description in RNAcentral is "tRNA-OTHER". The record is from RNAcentral. Lineage: Eukaryota; Metazoa; Chordata; Lepidosauria; Squamata; Phrynosomatidae.